This 274-nucleotide ribosomal RNA is filed under the name uncultured bacterium. RNAcentral describes it as "partial 16S ribosomal RNA". It matches the Rfam family "Bacterial small subunit ribosomal RNA", at positions 523 to 796 of the family's 1533-position model. The record is from RNAcentral.
AUACGGAGGGUGCAAGCGUUACUCGGACUCACUGGGCGUAAAGCGCGCGCAGGCGGCUAUUUAAGUUGGAUGUAAAAGCCUACGGCUCAACCGUAGAACUGCAUCCAAAACUAUUUAGCUAGAGUGUGGGAGAGGAAGAUGGAAUUAGUUGUGUAGGGGUAAAAUCCGUAGAGAUAACUAGGAAUACCAAAAGCGAAGGCAAUCUUCUGGAACACUACUGACGCUGAGGCGCGAAAGCGUGGGGAGCAAACAGGAUUAGAUACCCUAGUAGUCC